This 483-nucleotide ribosomal RNA is filed under the name uncultured bacterium. Its description in RNAcentral is "bacterial SSU rRNA". It matches the Rfam family "Bacterial small subunit ribosomal RNA", at positions 30 to 504 of the family's 1533-position model. The record is from RNAcentral.
UGAACGCUGGCGGCAUGCCUAACACAUGCAAGUCGAACGGAAACGAUGGGAGCUUGCUCCCAGGCGUCGAGUGGCGGACGGGUGAGUAAUACUUAGGAAUCUGCCCAUUAGUGGGGGACAACUAGAAGAAAUUCUAGCUAAUACCGCAUACGCCCUACGGGGGAAAGCGGGGGAUCUUCGGACCUCGCGCUAAUGGAUGAGCCUAAGUCGGAUUAGCUUGUUGGUGAGGUAAAGGCUCACCAAGGCGACGAUCCGUAGCUGGUCUGAGAGGACGAUCAGCCACACUGGGACUGAGACACGGCCCAGACUCCUACGGGAGGCAGCAGUGGGGAAUAUUGGACAAUGGGCGCAAGCCUGAUCCAGCAAUGCCGCGUGUGUGAAGAAGGCCUGCGGGUUGUAAAGCACUUUCAGUAGAGAAGAAAAGCCUACGGUUAAUAACCGUGAGUCUUGACGUAACCUACAGAAGAAGCACCGGCUAACUCC